CGUACCCGGUUAAACUCCACUAGCAGUUUCGGUAUAUAGUACCGCAUCCGGAGUUGAGCCACCACUGUUCUGUGGCUCUGAUGACAAAAGCGCUCGUGGAAGUCUCUGAUGAUCAGAUCUGUGACGGGGUGUCUUCUUGGCAAAAGCUUGUAGAGCACACUGUUCCGGUUAAUCGCCUGUUUCCAAGGAUGUUUCUUCCGCGCAUCGCUGCGCAGGCAUUUAAUAUCGGCAGCAAACCCUUCCGACUGCACCAACGUGUAGAGUGUCCGUUCCGCAGCUAGCAGUUCAUCCUGUGUCAGUGGCCCUGUUACCUUCUUCACUUGCCUAAUCCGUCGCCGAGUGUUCCCGAUAUACCGAAGAACAUAACCGACCGCUCUCAAUAGUUUCUUCCAGCGUGAGAAACGAGUGAAGUCGACUACAACAUCAACCACGAUUCCCACAGGAACCCUGGCCCUCGGAACCAUCUGCUGGAUGAGGUUAAGUCCGGAACUCCCUGCCACUUCGUCCCGUCAUCCGCUACGUUGACCUUAGUGGAAAGCCACCGCCACUCGUUAAUCUCUGUCGUCUCGACCAGCUCACUCACCCGAAAGGCGACAAACGUGCUGUAUCGCCUAUGGUCCGAUCGUAUCCAGCUCACAACGUUCCGCGAGUCCGUCCAGAACACCCUCCUGGUAACCUUCAACCGAUGCGUCUUGAUGAUGUGCUCCGCGAAUCGUGCUCCUAUCACCGCCGCUUGAAGCUCCAACCUUGGUAUGGAUAAAAGUUUCAGCGGUGCGACUCGUGUUUUGGACCCAAUUAAAGCACACUCUACUAUCCCGUCUUCCUCGAAACGCAGACACACAUAACGUUUGAGAGCCAUUUCGCGAUUGCAUGGUAGGCGCACGUCGUCAUACUUCCACAAUAGGGACGUUUGAUACCGGUCACCUAUCAAUUUAGUUCCGGUAUUCAGCAUCUCAACCGCGCGUUCUUCUUCCUUCGGUAUCAGUUUGCGGGAAGCGGUGACUCCAAUGGAAUCCAGAGAGAAGUACGCUUUUAAUGCCAUGUCCAGCUUCUGACUAUUUUCCUCGU
Molecule: long non-coding RNA, 1068 nt
Organism: Anopheles moucheti
Lineage: Eukaryota; Metazoa; Arthropoda; Insecta; Diptera; Culicidae
Exons: 4
Source: RefSeq, a predicted model, not a curated record